Molecule: long non-coding RNA, 2793 nt
Filed under: Marmota monax (woodchuck)
Lineage: Eukaryota; Metazoa; Chordata; Mammalia; Rodentia; Sciuridae
Source: RNAcentral
GCAUGCCAGGCGAGCGCGCUACCGCUUGAGCCACAUCCCCAGCCCCCAACAUCCUCUCUUGACCCCUAUCAUUCAUUAUCUACACUGACUGCCAGACCUUCUUCCCCCUGCCUCAGUUUGAUGAGGAAUGUGAUUUUUCCUGUCUCCUUAGGCCAGGUAGGGGCUGCAGGCAGAUUGUGUUUGGCAAAGAAAGUAAGUAGAGAGUCAGUUCAGUGGGCUCAUAUUAUAGAAUUAUUCUCUUAACUUCUGUGUUCCCACCAUCCUCCUCCAUUUGUUACCUUGCACCAUCAUAGUCAAGAUGCUGAAAAGUUCCAUUAAUACAAUUAGGAAAUGGAAGAAAAAUAGGAAGAAAUUUUGUGGAAGAGGAUAAACAGCAAAUUAUCACAUUAGAAAUAUUUUCAGCAGUAUUAGCUGUAAGAGAAUUCCAUUUAAAAAUCAAAAUGUAAGACAAAUGCAUAUAAAAAUCAAAAUGAGAAGACAUCACAACAUGCCUAUUAGAGUAAAAAUAUUGAAUAAAACAUUUUAUUACAAUAAAAACGUUAUAUAUUAGAAUAAAAAUAGUGAUAACAUUAAACAUUAUUGAGGAUGUGAAGAAACUUUCAUAUACUGCUGGUGGAAAUAUGAAAUUAUAUAGCUGCUCUGGAAGAGAUUGGGAAAUUAAAUAUAUUCUUGCCAUACAACCUGCUAAUUUCACUUUCCAGUUUUUAUACCAUACAAAUAAAAACAUGUGCUCACACAAAAGCCUAAAAACAAAUGUUCAUUGCAGCUUUACUCAGUAGCUCCAAAUGGGAAACAACCCAAAUGUUAUUCAACAGGUGCAUGUUUUAACUAGGUGCUGUACAUCCUUAACAUAGAACAAGAAAAUGAACUUCCCAGCCUACCAGGGCAGGACAGAAUGCAACUUGAAUGUAUCCCCAAAUAAAUAGGCUAAGUAAAAAAUUUAAUUUGUGAAGGCAUAUACUAUAUAAUUACAUUUACAUUGAAAUGACAAAAUUUUAAAAAUGGUGAACACAUUAGUGGCUGCCAGGUUGGGGGAGGGGAUGACAGAAAGAUAAGCGUGAUUAUAAAAAAGCAACACUGGAUGUUCUUGUUCAAUAUUUUCAAUAUUUUUGUGACACCAUUUUAGUAAGGAAUCUAACAACCAUUUCAGGCAUGCUUUUAUUAAUCUUUAUAAAUGAAAUUUUUAGAAAGUGGUGAUAACAAUUGUACACACACAGACACACAUCAUACACAUGUGUGCACGCACACACACACACACACACACAGAGUGUUAGGCCAUUACUUCUGUAUAUCUAUCUGAUUAUAUGAUUUACUAUUAGACUUUAUUUAAAGAAAUAAAGGACAACCAGAACAACUGGUAAUAGACUUAAUCUUAUUCAUCCAUGUCAACAUAAGAAUUUUUUUGUUCAGAAAAUGUUUUACUUCAGAACAUUCAGACAUUUGUCACAAAAUGUAAUGUGCCUGACUUCUAAGAGUAUUGCUAAAGUUAUUCUAAUAAUUUAGUAAUUUUUACAAUAAGACAAUCUUCAACAACACUUUGCAAGGAUGACAAUUCUGAAAAAGGGCAUUAGUCCUACUUAAGCAGACACAUGUUGUUAUCUGCUGCUAACAUUCAUUCCACUCUAUGAUCAACCAAUAUUUACUGAACUACUGUAUCAUUCAGGCCUGGAAGAUGUAGAAUGAUAUAUCCAUUAACUGUACAACUGAGGUUUAGUUAUAAGUAGAAAAAUUAAAUGUUAAGUAAAUAUAUUCUAUCUUGGAGCAAAGGAAGAGGUAAUUAAUUUUAACUUGCAAAAUGAUGGCCUUCAAGCUAGAUAUACAGCAAAUGAAAAUUAAAUAUGAAAUAUAAGAAGAAAUAUAUAUCUUCAAAGACAUCUCUUGGGCCCAGUCACUGAAAGUGUUUCAAUAAGUACAAAAUAGUCUCAAAUGUCAAUUUGAUUGGCAUGAUAGGUUAUAUUCCUAAAUCUGUCUUUAUUUCAUUCAUUUUUUGUUUUUUUAGUACCGGGAAUCAAACCUAGGGGUGCCUUACCACUGAGCUACAUCUUCAGCCCACUUUUUAUUUCUUAUUUUGAAAUAGAGUUUCACUAAGUUUCUGAGCCUGGCCUCAAACUUAACAAUCCUCCUCUUUCAGUCUCCUGAGUCACUGAUAUUACAGCCAGGCACCACCAUAUCUGGCUUCAUCCUGCCUUAACAAGGUGUGUUCAUGUGAUUAAUUUCUCGGCCCAGAUCAGAGGUGCAAAUGUUGUAUAUACAUUUCAUGUCUGAGUCCUCAUCCCACAGGUGAAUGAUCGUCUACCUUUUCUUUCCUUUCUUAAGUGUCAGUAUAUGAAGUAUACAUGGCUUACUUUAAAUAAUAGAAUGAAGGAAACUUUGUCCUUGAAAAGCUGCCAAUGUAGAUUGCUCAACUGAAGCUGUUGAAUGAAUUGAAAUAAACUGCUUUGUUAAAUCCAUUAUAUAUGGAGCUUUCUUUUUGCAAUAGUUUAGACUCGUGGAUCUAAAUAGAUGAAAUUCGUAGAGCUGGUACCAAGAGUAGGACAAUACUCUAACAAGCUAAAUUAUUGAACAUCUACUUUACAAUAGGGUGUAAAGACAUAUUUGUUGUAGCUGGAUGACAGAUGACCCUUAUACUGUUGCAAAAUAUAUGGUAAAACUGCAGAGAUUGAAAUGAACAUCGUUGAAAGAUUUGUCACCUUGCUGGCUUGAAAAAACCAGCAGCAUAUUCCCAAUGCCAAGAAAUAUAUCUAUCACCUGAGACUCUCUGAAGGGCCAUGGUGGUUGUAAAAGAUAACAGGA